AGUCAAACACUUCAGGAUCCAUCACCAUGGCCUGUGCCCUGCUCCUCCUGGCGCUGAUGACGUGCUGUUCAGGGGUCUGGUCACAGCCUGUGGUGACUCAGGAGCCUGCGGUGUCCGUGUCCCCAGGAGGGACUGUCACUCUGUCCUGCAGCCUGAGCACCGGAGCCAUCACCAGCAGCAACCAUCCUGGCUGGUACCAGCAGAAACCUGGCUCUCCCCCCCGGUUGCUUAUAUAUGACACCAUGACCAGGCCCUCGGGGCUCCCCACCCGGUUCUCGGGGUCCAUCUCUGGUCAGAAGGCCGCUUUAACCAUCACAAGGGUCCAAGCCGAGGAUGAGGCCGACUACUACUGUGCUGUGUAUGUUGGCAGUGCUCCAUGGGACACGGGACUACUGAAGCGGGUUCAUGGAAAACACAAGCAUGUGGAGAUGUAG
Molecule: non-coding RNA, 434 nt
Organism: Alligator mississippiensis (American alligator)
Lineage: Eukaryota; Metazoa; Chordata; Crocodylia; Alligatoridae
Source: the annotation of a RefSeq genome assembly